UGCACACACCUCCGUACCGGAGCAUCUGGGCUUCUCCUCUAAACAUGUCCGAACCAUCUAAGUCUCGCUUCCCGCAUCUUGUUAUCAAUGGGAGCCACAUGCACCUUCUCCCGGAUAUCAUCAUUCCUAAUCUUAUCUAUCCUAGUGUGCCCGUACAUCCACCGCAACAUCCUCAUUUCUGCUACUUUUAUCUUCUGGAUAUGUGAGUUCUUAACGGGCCAACACUCAGCCCCAUACAUCAUAGCCAGUCUAACCAUCGCUUUAUAAAACUUACCUUUGAGUAUCGGUGGCACUCUCUUGUCACACAGGAAUCCAGAUGCUAACCUCCACUUCAUCCAUCCUACCCCAAUACGGUGUGUGACAUCCUCGUCGAUCUUCCCUCCCCCUGNNNNNNNNNNNNNNNNNNNNNNNNNNNNNNNNNNNNNNNNNNNNNNNNNNNNNNNNNNNNNNNNNNNNNNNNNNNNNNNNNNNNNNNNNNNNNNNNNNNNNNNNNNNNNNNNNNNNNNNNNNNNNNNNNNNNNNNNNNNNNNNNNNNNNNNNNNNNNNNNNNNNNNNNNNNNNNNNNNNNNNNNNNNNNNNNNNNNNNNNNNNNNNNNNNNNNNNNNNNNNNNNNNNNNNNNNNNNNNNNNNNNNNNNNNNNNNNNNNNNNNNNNNNNNNNNNNNNNNNNNNNNNNNNNNNNNNNNNNNNNNNNNNNNNNNNNNNNNNNNNNNNNNNNNNNNNNNNNNNNNNNNNNNNNNNNNNNNNNNNNNNNNNNNNNNNNNNNNNNNNNNNNNNNNNNNNNNNNNNNNNNNNNACUCAUCAAUCAGAACUAUGUCAUCGGCGAAUAGCAUGCACCAUGGCACAUCCCCUUGAAUAUGGUGUGUUAACGCGUCCAUCACCAGGGCGAAUAAGAACGGACUGAGCGCAGAACCUUGGAGUAACCCCAUUACAAUCGAAAAAUGCUCAGAGUCGCCCGAUUACAACUGGAUCAGUUGGCAAUAAAUUUUACAUGAUAAUUAUAACCAGAUAUACUACCACAUGAAUGUGUUAGUUAUACGUAAUAUACGUGUUGGAUUCCUUUUUUUACAAGAAGGGCAAAUCUGGAUUGUUGCUACUAUGAUAAAUCUAGAACUUAAAGGGGAUGAUCAUAUGCAGGGUGCAAAAAAUGAUCGAAGAAAGUUGAUAAAAUUGGAAAUAAGUUUUACUAGAAGAAAUGUGAACGUGUUGAUCAUUCUGCUCUGAAAAGGUUUGACCAUAGUCUCUACUUAAUUAAAGAUUAUUAGAACAUAAAUUUAAGCUAAAAGAAGUUUUUAACUUAAAAAGGCUUUCAGAUACAAGCUUCAAGUUUGUGUAAUUGAUGGCACUGGCUCUAUUUCUUUGUUGCUUUGGGAUCGUGAGGCAACAAAACUCAUAGGAAAGUCUGUUGAUACCUUGAAAGAAGGUUUAGUAAAGGUAUGUUAUUUUAUUUCCAUUGUUUCAUAUUUUUUAGCACUUCUAAUACUAAUAUUGGUUUAGACUUCUGGUACUGCUUAUGAGUGUUCUCAUCCAUUGGAGAUUGAUGCUAUUUUGGAUUAAAAAAAUCAUGUUUAAAGUGACUGUUAAACCUUCCAACACUGAGGAGAAUGAUGAAGUUUAUACUGUCGUUAUGGUCAGCGAUAAUGAGGACCUUAUACAAAAAUAUAGUACGUCUUCAGAAGCAGAUAUCUUUACUAUAUGUGAUCUUUACUCAAAUUCCUCAUAAUAUAUAUUGAAUUGUGAGUUCAAUGCUAAAACUUAUUAUUAUUGAGUUAACCUUUCAACUAUGAUAUCAAUUUAGGAUCCAGAUUUUAAUAAUGAACAAGUCACAAGUGGAGAUACGAGAGACAAGGUGGUUAAUUUAUAGUUUCAUUAAAGAGCAUCUCAUCAUACAUUGACAAUGGUAAUUGAUUUUCUACUUUUGAUUGUAUCAACCUUAACUGUUUUACUUUUGUAGGAUUCUAUGGCUGAUAAUGAGAUGAUCUCUCCUAAAAAGACCCAUGCCAAGAGAACUAGAGACGAGGAUGGAGCAACCAUUGUAGAGGUUGAUGAAGAUGUGGGAAAAUUAUCAAGCAACGGUUUGCUUCUUCGUGCAGUAAUUUAUACAAUUGAGCUCAAAAAGUGAGGGUUGCCUCAUGCUUAUAUAUUUCUCUUUCUUCAGGAGCAUAAUAAAUAUCCAACUGCUGGUGAUAUUGAUAAAAUAAUAACAGCAGAAAUAUCAGAUAAAACAGUUGAUCCGCAUUAUUAUAAGGCCAUGAAAAGUUUUAUGAUGCAUGGCCCAUGUUGUUCUGCUGGAAAAUCUUCUCCUUGCAUGCCGAAUGGGAGAUGUGCAAAGCACUUUUCAAUUAAGUUUAUUGAAUUAAUCACAAUUGAUGAAGAUGGCUAUCCUAUUUAUAGGAGAAGUGAUAAUGGAAGAACUAUCAAGAAGGAUGGUAUUGACUUGGACAAUAGGUAUGUGGUGCCGCACAAUCGUUUCUUAUUAUUGAAAUAUGGUGCUCACAUCAAUGUGGAGUGGUACAAUCAAUCGAGAUCAAUUAAAUACUUAUUUAAAUAUGUUAACAAAGGAAAUAAUCGUGCCACUGCUGUUUUUUCUAGAAGUGUGCAAGAGGAGGGUUCAUCAGUUGUUGAUGAAAUUAAUAUGUUCUAUGAUUGUCGAUACAUAUCACCUUGUGAAGCUGCUUGGAGAAUAUUCAAGUUUCCUAUCUCACUAUAGACAACCUUCGGUGGAAAGACUAUCAUUUCAUCUUCCAAAUGAACAACAUGUCAUAUUCUCUGAUGAUGAUCCAAUUGAUGAUGUUGCCAGUAGACCCACCGUAAGGGAAUCGAUAUUUUUAAGUUGGUUUGAGACAAAUAAAACUUGUUCUGAAGCAAGAGAAUUAACUUAUACAUAAUUUUCCCUUAAGUUUGUGUGGAAACCAAAGUUGAAAAUAUGGGAGAAAAGAAGUACUUCUGCAUGUUCAAUUGGAAGGAUUUUCUUUGUUCCGCCUGGAAUUGGCGAGCUAUACUACCUCAAAUUGUUGUUGAAUGUCCAAAAUGUUAUGAACAUUUUAAAAGAAUCAACAAUCAUGAUCAUCUUACAUUUAGAGAAGCAUGUUAUGUACUUGAUUUAGUUGACAAAGAAUAUGUAGAUUGCAUAAAGGAGACAAGUAGUUGCGGUAUACGAUCGUAUCUUAGGCAAUUAUUUUCUAUGUUGUUGUUAUCGAAUUCGAUGUCAUGACCAGAAAAUGUUUGGCAAGCAACAUGGCAAUUAUUAUCAGAAGAUAUCCUACAUAAAGAAAGAGUCUUAAUGACUAAUCCAGGUAUGUCCAAACUUAUAUUUUCAGUUAUGAUAUUUUUACAUAAUUUCAGUGUGCAUAUGAGGAUAUAAAUGGAUUAUUCAGCCGUAGAUAAUUAAAAUAUAUACUUACAAAGAGAAAACAUUAUUUUCGUCUAGACAAUGUCUUUGUCAGUUCCCACCAUGCACAUAAUGCACAAAAAUUGCAUCCACCUGCAUGAGUUAAAAAGGAAUGCUUGCACUUAUAGUACAAAGACUAAUGGCAUGAGUUACUGCCUUACUGGAAUUGCAUUUAGACUUAAUUAUAGUACAAUGACUAAUGACGUGAAAUUGUUUACACAUUUCAGUUUAAUUAUGAUUGUUAAUAUUGUUUUUUUCUUUGGAGUAUAGAAUUUAUGUGGUUUAAGUUUUCCUUAAUCUAAAGUACAUACACACGCUUUAAAUCAUUUGCAGAAAAGAGAAAUGUUAAAAAUUGUCUUAAUUCAUAUCAGUUAAAUUAGAUAGUAUGUUUUUAACUAUACAACUAACUGAAUGUUAUUGGUAUAGAAUAUAACAUUCAUAAGUCUAAACCAUAACUACAACUAACUAUAACUUGAGUAAAAAUUAAUUAACUUGUAUUUUUUUUAUAUAAUCAUAUAAUAUCUUUUAUAUAUUAUAGCUAUUCAAGUUCUGUAAUAUUUAUAUUUUUUCAGAGGCGGAGCUCAGGGGCGGCCCAACCCUAAAGCAAGUGAAAUACUUGCUUUAGACCCCAAAUAUUUAAGGGCCCCAAAAUUACUAGUAUUUUUUUUUAUAUAUAGUAGUAUAUUAUUUAUAUAAUUAUCAUUUAUAAUUGAUAAAUUUAUUUAUUUAUUGUCAUAUUAAUUUUUAAUAACUCGAUUUCUUCCUCUAAUUAAUAUAACUAAAAUAGUUUUCUGUCAAUCUUUUUUUAGUUAAUUAUAUUUCUCUAUUCAUUAGUUGGUCACGUAAUUAUAUCUAAUAAUCUAACUUAUUAUUUAUUUUCCUUACAUAAAUUAUACUCUCUCCGUCCCAAUAUAUAUGAAAGUGUUUAACUGGACAUGUAUUUUAUGAAAUAAAGGAAGGCUUUUGAAACUUGUAAUCUUAAAUAAAUCAUAGAAGUUUUUGGGCUAGAAAUCAUCUCAUUAAUGGUAAAAAUAUAGAAAUGGACUUACUAAAAAAAAGGAGUCACUUAUGUUUUCUGGGUUCUCCCAUUUCAGUUGUGAUGUAAUCAACGUUAAAUUCAUUUAAUUUUCUGUAUUUUAUAAAACUAAGUUCUUAUUUUUUUUAAUUUCACAUCCUCACUUGUCUAAUUUUUUUAAAAACGAUGUUCAUUAAAUUUUAUAUAUAUAUAUAUAUUAAGGCCUCUUAUUAAGAUUUUGCUUUAGGCCUCCGAUGAGGUUGGGCCGCCCCUGACGGAGCUAACAGAUGAUGAAUUGCAAAAUCGUUGCUUACAAAAGUUGGAAGGUUGCGGAAGAAGUUUUCUGGAUUUUCCAACAAUGCCAAUACCUCUUUAUAGUGAGGGAGAAGGUGCCUUUAGCAAUCGAUUAAUUCAUGAUGAAUUGCGUUAUAACAGACGCUCGAUGUUAGAGGAACAUCAACAAUUAUUAAUGAAUUUGACGGCUCAACAAAAGUCAGAUUAUGAGAAAAUUAUGGCAGCAGUGGAAUGGAUGAAGCCAAAGGUGGAUUGUUCUUUUUAUAUGGUUAUGGAGAGACUGGUAAGACAUCUAUUUGGAAGACUCUAUCUUCGGGUAUACGAUCUCGAGGAGAUAUUGUGUUAACUAUUGAAUCAAGUGGGAUUGUAUCUCUUUUGUUACUGGGAGGUCGAACAACGCAUUUGAGAUUUGCAAUUCCUCUCAAUCCAAUUGAAGAUUCAACAUGCAAUAUAAAGCAAGGUAGUCCUCUAGAAAAAUUGAUCGUUAAGGCAAAGUUGAUUAUUGGGGACGAGGCACCGAUGAUGCAUACAUACUGUUUUGAAGCUCUUGAUCAAACUAUUAGAGAUAUUCUUAGAUUUAAAGACACAUCCAGUCUAGAUCGACCAUUUGAAGGUAAAAUAAUUGUUCUUGGAGGUGACUUCAAAUAAAUUUGCCAGUCAUUACAAAAGGUACUCGGCAAGAUAUUAUUAAUGCUACUCUAAGCUUUUCAUAUUUAUGGCCCCACCGUGAAAUAAGGAAUAUGAGAUUGCAAGGAAAUCAGUUAGGACCAUAUUUAGGUGAGUUAAAAGAAUUUUCAGAUUGCAUUUUGGCAAUUGGUGACGGAGGAAUUAGAAGUUCUGAUGAUGGCAUUGAAAAUGUUUGAAUCUCCGAUGAUCUUCUCAUACAUAAUUGUGAUGAUCCAAUAUCUGCAAUUGUAGAAAGUACUUAUCCUGAUUUCUUUAACCAUUCCAAUGACAUAGAGUACCUCCAGCAAAGAGCAAUUUAUGCUCUGACUCUUGACAUGGUGGAAUCUAUCAAUGAAUAUAUGAUUUCACUCAAUCACGGUCCCGAUACAUUUGAGUUAUGAUACAUUUUGUAUGUCUGAUCAUGCUUUUACAGCUUCUGGAGUUCUAAAUCACUCUAUUACUCUAAAGGUUGGUGUUCUUGUGACAUUACUGAGAAAUAUAACAUCGAGAUUAUGCAACGGUACAAGGUUGAUCAUCACAAGACUUGAAAAUCGGGUUAUUGAAGCCAAGAUUUUAUCAAGUAAUAUGGCCGGAGAAAAAGUGGUUAUUAUAAUAAUGACGUUGACUCCAUCUGAUGCGAGAAUACCUUUUAAGUUCCAGCGAUGAUAAUUUUCAAUUGUGGUGGUCUUUUCCAUGACAAUUAAUAAAAGUCAAGGCCAGUGAGGUUAUUUUUGAAGAAAUCAAUGUUUACACAUGCACGGUUGUAUGUUGCUCUUUCGCGGGUGACAAGUAGAAAAUGGUUAAAGGUUUUAGUUUAUGAUGAUGAUGGACAAAUAACAAAUAAAGCUAGAAAUAUAGUGUACAAAGAAUUUUUCGUAAUUUAAUUUAAUACAUUAUUAAAUAAUUUAUCAUUUAAUUAUUCCGUAGUAUUAUUGUCUUCUGAUCCUUUGGUCUUAUGUAUCAUUUUUUUAGUUAAUAUUUUAAUUUGAUAUAACGUAAGAAGAUGUAAUCUGCAGUUGAACUCUGAACAAAUAGUUCUGUAAACAAUAAACAAAGAGAAAUUGAAACCUAUUUGCCAUAGAUAGUGACAGUAGCAGUAAUAAAUUGGAUGAUAGCAUUUAUUCUGUGUGAAACUUCUAAUUUUACUGCCUAAACUUACUUGCAUUUUAGCGGUCUUGAAAUGGGGUAAUUGUGGUCCAAUUUUACUGCCUAAAAGGGCUUUUUGUUUCCGUGGCAGUUCACCAGAAGCGAUAGAUUUCCAUUUUUCCAGCGCCUCACUCAUAAAAUCUUAAAGCCAAUUAAGUAUUGGCUUACUAUAAUCUACAGCAGCAGAUGCCUCCACAAGGAAAUAGCUCGAAAGAUCAUUCUGGCCUGUCUUCUUCAUUAUCUCAUCAGUAAUACAAUAUAUGUUGUCUCUUGUUUUCGUAAAAAAUUGUCGACCAAGGACAAAAAAUUCUUGAUUUUUUACCCAUGUCUUUUUGUAAUGAUAAACCUCAAUACAGAGGACAACUUCUGAAAAAUGCACCACAAUAUGUCCAUGAGCAUUUGCUACAAUAAUGUUCCCUCAAACACAUGUUUUAUAUCAAGCAAAUUGUAUAGCAUCAUUAUUUUUUAUGGAACAUUGACUUUGAAAAUGGAAUAAAAGUUUUACUGGAGUCUCAAAAGAGUUUUUAAUGUUUGAUUAUAAAGAAGACAUUAACCCUAACAAAUUAAAUUUAACGGUGUAGAUCGUUGUUUUUAAUUAUCCGCGCAUCAUGAGGUACUAAUACUAGGGAAGGAAUUAAUAGAUAAGUAAAAGAUUUAAAAUUGACACGGUUAAAUGCUUUCUUAACUAGUAAAUUAGCAAAUACUCGUGAAAUAUGUUACUUCCACUCCAAGCAAUGCGUUACGUUAAAUUAGCAAUUCUUAAUAUAGUGGGUCAAAUGAGUAGCUUUUUCAAGUGCAAGCACUAGUCGUUUAAAAUUAUCUUUUGAAGUCACAUAAUAUUUGAAAGAUUGCUUCUGAAAUAUUGUUUAUGAGAAGUUAAUUGUAUACAAAAGAUACUAAAUUAAAGCAUAAUCACUAUUUUAUAAAUAUUUCAAUCAAAGUAUAUGUAUUCAUUAUGAAUAGCAGAUAUUAGAAAAUUAAGUAAAUAAUUAUUACAUAUUUUAUAUGAAAAACAUGAGAUGAACAAUUACGUAAAAGAUUAAAUUGUAAUAAUAUGGAGAGAAACAACAAGCAAUAAAACUUAUUGUUAGUGUUAUUUUUUAAGUUUCGAAAAAUAUUAAAGCAGUUAGCAGUAUGAGAUCGAUUUAAAAAACUUUUAGUUUUCAAUCUUAAUUCGAACAUCAAUUUAACACUUUAUAGUAAAAUUCAUAAAAUUAAGAACCAGGUAAAUAGUACUCUAAAUUACAAUUUAUAAAUUUUUAAUAAAUAUAUAAAUAAGCAAAAAAAUCAAUAUUUAAAUAUUUAAUAAAAGAAAGCUAUUUGUAUCUUUAAUAAGUAUAAUAUUUAAAAGUUCAUGUUUCUAUUAUUGAAAUAAUUUUAUUGAAUUUGAUUUAUCUCAAAAGGAAAAAAACAAUCUUUGUAUUAUUACUCAUUUUCUUUUCCAAAACAAUCACCCUUUUUUUAUUUUCGAAAAACAAAAUAAAACUAAUAUUUCCAAAGAAAAGGAGGAAAAAUCCAGCGGAUAAACAACACACAACGGUGUACGUGGCCCGUUGGAUUAUAUAUAUAAAAAUAGAAGGCCUUACUUCAGCACGUCGAGGCGGGGUCAAAAACCCUAGAUAUUUAUCAACACGCACACCCACACAAAGACACACACAGUAAUCUCUACCUUCUGAUCGCUAGAUUCGUAUCCCUUAGCAGUAUACUCCCGAGGUAUUUUCAGUUAUAUUCUCUAUGUUAUUAUGCAAAUUUCGCAUUUCCUUUUCUCUUUUACACAAAUCUUGUACUGUUAGGCUAUUACAUCUCUUAUUGAUAUGAAUGGAUCUCCAGAAGGAUACAUAGGAUCUGACUCUAACUAUUUAGGAUUGAGGUGUAGUUAUUGUAGUUCCAUAAAUCUCUGAUUUUCAGAUCUAUGUUUCUUCGCGGAUCUGUGCCCUUUGUUCUUUAAUGUAGUUUGAUAAGUGUAUUAUGUGUGUUUGUCUUUAUCACAAUUACAGUAAUAAUUAAAGAAAAAAGAAAUUUCUAGAAUUGACUGCUUUUCAGAGCUCAUGAAUUGGUCACUUGUGUAUAGGCUCAGACACUAUGUAAUAUUUACUUGCGUGUCUUUAUGGUUCCGCGAGGAAUAGCAUUUAGUCUACCAGGAACUGUUGUCACAUGCAUCCAAGUUUAAUGUUUUGUUGCUAUCAGAAUCUCUAGGAAAUCCUGCUGAUGUAGAAUGUUUUAUCGAGCAUGCUGUAUCAGGGCAACAUGCUGAGUAUUUGAGGGAAUAUGGCAUGAAACUCAAUGAAAGUUGACUGAAUGUAUAUUUUUCCAAUAAGCAGCUUAAUUGUAUCUCCAAGCUUUUAAUUUUUGUUUCUUAGGUUGGGUUGGGACAAGGUUAUGGGUACUUGUGCUGAUGUGAGACUAUUUUCUAUCUGAAUUGUUACAAGUUUUAGUAAUUGGAUUUACUCUUUAUGGAUUUAUGACUUCUGAUGCAAUUUUUCAAUGAUAAACAGUGUUUUGUCCAUAUUUUGUAAUGGCUGGUCGACGGGAUAGCUAUGGGAAGCGGUCUCAUUCUCAGUCAGACUAUAGUGAAAAUGGGGGAAAUAAAAGGAGAAGUACUAGAAACGAUAAGGAUCCUUUCUCUAUUGGCCCGGAUGAUACAGUAUACCGUUACUUGUGCCCAAUAAAGAAGAUUGGCAGUAUCAUAGGUAAAGGAGGGGAAAUUGUUAAACAAUUAAGGGUGGACACUAAAUCAAAAAUCAGAAUUGGAGAGACAGUACCUGACUGUGAUGAACGCGUUGUCACCAUCUACAGUUCAAGUGAAGAAACAAAUGAGUUUGAUGGUUCUGAAGAUCGUGUUUGUCCAUCUCAGGAUGCCCUUUUCAGAGUAUAUGAUAAAAUUGUUAAUGAUGACACUAUGGACGAGGACUCUGAGGAAGCACCACAGGUUACUGUUAAGCUUAGNNNNNNNNNNNNGUUAACUGUCUGAUUUAUAAAUAUAUAAAGGGAUAAAUCAUACUGCACUUCUGUUUCUCUCCACCUCUUGAAAUUUAUUUGUGACUGCCCAAGUUGCAUUGUUACACAGACAUACAUUUGGAUGGCUCAGUUUCUUUAGUUAUAAAUGUAUGGCCAAUUUUCUUAGUAGUCAUCUGUUGAUCAUGUGGGACUCAAUUUUCUAUCCUAUUGCUCUUAGCCAUGGGAAUUUAAAAAUAAGUUUAGCUGAAAUAAUGUCACUGCUCAUCUGGUUGUUGGUUACUUGGAUUUAGAUAUCUGGUGAAGUUGCUGUAGUGAGGAAGGCUCUCUAUGAAAUUGCAACUCGUCUUCACAAUAAUCCAUCCCGUUCUCAACACAUGCUAGCCUCCGAUGCACCAAACGUUUACUCAUCGAGCAGUUCACUUAUAGCUCCUGCUGGUGGUGCUCCAAUAGUGGGAAUAGCUCCACUAGUGGGGCCGUAUGGGGGUUACAAAGGGGAGAGUGGUGACUGGUCGAGGUCUUUCUACUCAGCUCCAAGGGAUGAAUCAUCUUCAAAGGAAUUUUCUCUUCGUUUAGUGUGUCCAUCUGCAAAUAUCGGGGGUGUUAUUGGCAAAGGUGGUGUCAUAAUAAACCAAAUUAGACAAGAAUCUGGUGCAGUGAUCAAGGUUAAUAGUUCUAAUACUGAAGGCGACAAUUGUGUGAUUUCUAUUUCUGCAAAAGAGGUAAAUGUUUUCUAUUUAAAUGGAUGUUCAUCAGAAUAUGCAACUUGAGGAUCUUUGUCCACUUAGUAAAGAUGUAUUUUUAUGCUUUGUCUAGUUUUUUGAGGACACAUAUUCUCCCACAAUUGAAGCAGCAUUGCGCUUGCAACCAAGGUGCCGUGAGGAAGUGGAACGGGAUUCAGGUCUUAUAUCAUACACCACAAGGUUGCUGGUUCCAGCAUCUCGAAUUGGCUGUCUUAUUGGGAAAGGAGGAUCCAUAAUUAAUGAGAUGAGGAAAAUCACGAAAGCUAAUAUUCGUAUUCUCUCGAAGGAAGACCUUCCGAAGGUUGCAGCUGAAGAUGAGGAGAUGGUACAGGUAAUUAUUCAUUGUUAAUACUAAUUGGGUAUUUUAAAUAUGUAAGGAUAUCCCCCACUGAUUAAAAGGAAAAAAGGUCAGUGAUUUCCCCUCCCGCUUGUAAAACCAGCUACUGGACUAUGAAUAUACAAUAUGAAUGAGGUGUCUUUGAUUAUCACAAAAAAAAAGAAUGAUGGGCUUUUGAUGUAGAUGUUGGACACUUUGAUAGCCAUAGAUUGCCUUUGAUCCAUUUAUGUUCAUGGUUAGUUUUGGGGAAAGGGGCCUGGCAUGAACGGAACUAUUGUUUCAGAGGGUCUUUUCCCCUGUUUGUUUUUCCCGAUUGCUGUGUUGUACCUGCUGUUCCACAAAAUUAAACCUCCAAAAAGAGAAAGAAAGAGGCGGAAAGAUCAUGCCAAUGUGAAAAGACAAGGAUGCUGAUGCAAACAUUUCUUCUUCUUUAUGGUCCUUAGUAGUUCCUUUUCUUUCUUAUUAUUCCUGUCUAUAUUAUUAUACUGAUUCUCCUCGUUUUCUGUAAUUUAUUUAGGAGCUUCUAUCUUUAUGCUUGUUAUUUUGCUUUGAAUAACUUACUCUAAGGACCAUAUUGCUUUUCAUUUUUCUUAACUGAACCUAGUUAUAUACUUCCAACAUUCAUCAGAUAUCAGGAGAUCUUGACGUGGCAAAGGAUGCACUCGUACAAGUAACUUCACGUUUAAGGGCAAAUCUUUUUGAAAAAGAGGGGCCCAUGUCUGCCUUUGUGCCAGUUCUUCCCUACCUCCCCAUGUCAACGGAUUCAGAUACCUUGAAAUAUGAAAACAGAGAUACUAGGAGACAUGCACGUGAACAUUCCUACUCAACUGGGUAUGGUGGUGCUAGUGAUCUUCCACAUGCUGAUGGUUUUGGAAGUUAUGGUACUCUCCAGGUAAAACUUUGUUUCAUUGAUUAGUGCAAAGGAGUUUUUGGGAGUUGCAGUGUUCUCCAGAAGUUCUGUCAUUUGUUUCUUUCGGCUAGCUUUCUACUACUUUUGCGGUGCAGCUCUUGUUAUUAAUUUCUAAUUCCAUUUGCAGAGUAGUAGUAGUAUAGGGUAUGGGGCAUAUGAAGGAUAUUCCCCUGCUUAUCCAAAAGAAGGAUAUUCCCCUGCUUAUCCAAAAGAAGGAUAUUCCCAUGGGCGUUCCAGUGGAUCUGGGUGAGUUCUUCUUGCCUUCCCUUCGCCAGUCUUGAGUAGUUUUGGUUUCCUAUGUAAUGGUGAUACUGUUAUCAUGCUGCCUCUAGAUUUUCUUGAAAGAAAAACAAGCACAAGAUCGUAGUUUCAUUAUUUCUUGAAUUGUAUGCUUUUCAAGAAGCUAAAUGUUUUGACCUUAUAUUUGGAUCUUGCAUGUUUACGUCUGACCUAAUGGUUGGUGAGUUUGUUCUGCCCUUUCUUGCAGAGGAUUUCUUAUUUAGCUCGUCUACUUUCAACUGCUCUAAAGAAUUCAAAGUUGCUUCUCUUUCUUAUUCAUUAUGUUGAGUUUAUGUUACCAGGUCAUCAAGGCAAAACUCUGCCUCCCGGAGAAAAAGUUAUGGUUAUUAGAGCUUGUAACAGGACCACAGGUAGCCCAUGAAUAUUGGCUCUAUUGCAUUGAUUUUUUAACUCGAGUAGCUGGUUUUAUAUACCUAGCCCGGCUCAUACAAAAGUAAUACACAGUUUGGUAUGAUGACCUAACCUAUCUUCCAAUUAUGAAACUAAUGAUAUUCUUUUCCCUUUGUUUCCUUUCCCUCGCUACAAACAGCCGAGAUAUCUGAAGCCUGAAGCCAGCCUACUGUCACCUUUGAUGAAGCCUCAUGCCUAAACCAGAUGACCAGAUGAAUGCGGAUAUCGAAUCCAUUGCCUUCCUUGAUGUUUUCCUUAGGAGGACCAUGUCCGAAGAUCUUACCUACUAUCAAAAUUGCCAAGACCUGACACCAUAUAUUUCCGAGAUCAAACUCUUGUGCUUCCAAGAACCUGUGUAGCCUGCGGCCUCAUCCUUUCUUCCCAUUUGUAGUUGUACUAUAGAUGAAUUUAACUGUCAAAUCUCGGCCAUGUGUCCUGUUGUCUUGUUUUCAGUUUAUUGUUAUUUGUAUGAAUCUACUGUUAGUUGGAUUUCCUAUUUGAUGCUAUAGAUGCUAGACCUGGUGGAGAUUUCUAAGUGUUCUAGUUUUGAUUAUGAUGCAAUGUUGGGAAAUGAGCCCUUUCACAAUAUCUUCAGAAGUAUUGCUACGUUACUAGAAAGCCUACAUGUUUCUUCAUUAUCUGCGAUAAUGUUCAAUCAUGAUUUUUCCUGUGUGUCCUUGUCAUUUUAUUGGCAAAAGUAUCUUGCUAAAAGUAGAUUGCUCUUCUGAAGAGGAUGUCGUGGUUAUGGAAUGUGCAUACAGCUUAAGCUACAUGGGUGCCUGCAGUUCUCUGUAGACACUGGAUCUUCAUUGCUGUGAUUAGUAGUGCUAUAUGUUUCAGUAAUGCCAAAACGCAGUGAUAUUCACUGCCAAUCAAUGUGGAAUCUGAGCUUUUGGGAGUACUGGUUGGAAUUAACUGAAGCAGGUAUAUAUCUGAUGGUAAGUCUCAAUAUUCUUUUUAUUGCAAGCUUUUGUUAUAUGAUUUAUGUGCAAGCGCUGAUAUUAUUGCAAUGAAUCAGCAUGUUUGGUGGAAUUUACUCAUGUAUGCAAAAGUAGGUACUCAUAUUUUCUCUGCAUUUGUUUGGUGAUAAUGUUGUUUCAAAAGUGUCGGCUCUCAUCUGAAGUUAAACCAUCUCUUCUUUGUUCCCUUUCAUACUGUUUUUGGAUACAGUUAGUAUGCUUCAUUUGCUGAUGCCUUUAUUAUUGCUCCUAUCAUGCAAUGCUCCAUUGUUUGUCCUUUCUUCUUGAGAGUGGUGGGGGUUGAGUUGGAGGGUCGGCUAUGUCUUGAAGAAGGGUGGUUGAAUGAUAUGAUGAGAGGAUACUUAAUCAAUCAUGGGGUGUGAGAAGUCGAUCCUGAGUUGAGUUGAUCUCAUAUAAGUACGUGCACCAAGUUGAGGCUUUAGUAGGAGAUUGAUUUCCUACAACUAAUCAUGCGAAGUUAGAAGUUGCUCUCCUAUUGCAUAGAAUAUAGAGUUCUAUAUAAUUUGUCAUGUGUUAUCUUUCUUCCUUCUCCUUGCCGACCCCCCCCCCCCCCCCCUAUAUAAUUUGUCAUGAGUUAUCUUUCUUCCUUCCCCUUGUUCCCCCCCCCCCCCCCCACCAACCAACACACAUCAACAACAAAACAAACCACCAACACACAGUUCUUUAAGCCCCCUGGUGGAAAUCACAGUUGGAACUUUUCUAGACAGUCGACUCACUUGAUUAUUGACUGGAAUUACAACAGGUGCGGUAAAUUACCCCUCAUAUGAGCCAGUUGUGUCUUAGGGUGGUAGAUGUUUUUUUUAAUAUUUUGAUAUGUUUGAUGUAUUCAUUAGUUAUUUGUAAUACAACCUUUUGGAUGGUAAUAUUUUUUGUUUCCGCUAGAGGCCAAAUGACAACAGUAUCUAAUUACAGCACAUUAUCUAUGUCAGAA
This 14056-nucleotide long non-coding RNA is filed under the name Nicotiana tabacum (common tobacco). RNAcentral's name for it is "long non-coding RNA (NTAB_LNC010582)". Lineage: Eukaryota; Viridiplantae; Streptophyta; Magnoliopsida; Solanales; Solanaceae. The record is from RNAcentral.